AAAGAUGAGUGCAUGAGUAUAAAGGGCAUGAUAAUUAAACUAUAUGAUUAAAUUAAUUAAUUAAAUUUGAUUUGAACUAAUUAUUUAGGUUAAUUAGAAUCAAGUAUUUUAAUUAAUCAAUUGAAAAAAUCCAAUUGUUAAUUUAAAUGAUUAAGGCUAAUUAACCUAAUUAAUUAAAAAAGUUUUAAUUAAUUAAUAAUUAUAAUAAUAAUAAAACAUUAAAAUAAAAUAAAAAAUAAAAUAAAAAAGUUAUAAGCAAAAUACGUGAGAGUGCAAGAGAAAUAGAGGAGUGGUAUUUUUAGUAAACAAACGAAAGAAGAAGAAAAAACAAUAAUCAAAACA
This 342-nucleotide long non-coding RNA is filed under the name Lathyrus oleraceus (garden pea). RNAcentral's name for it is "Pisum sativum (pea) long non-coding RNA (PSAT_LNC027980)". The record is from RNAcentral. Lineage: Eukaryota; Viridiplantae; Streptophyta; Magnoliopsida; Fabales; Fabaceae.